ACUCAAAUGAAUAGACGGGGACCCGCACAAGCAGCGGAGCAUGUGGUUUAAUUCGAAGCAACGCGAAGAACCUUACCAGGGCUUGACAUCCCUCUGACCGGCCGGUAAAGCGGCCUUUCCUUCGGGACAGAGGAGACAGGUGGUGCAUGGUUGUCGUCAGCUCGUGUCGUGAGAUGUUGGGUUAAGUCCCGCAACGAGCGCAACCCUUGUUAUUAGUUGCCAGCAGGUAAAGCUGGGCACUCUAAUGAGACUGCCGGGGAUAACUCGGAGGAAGGUGGGGAUGACGUCAAAUCAUCAUGCCCCUUAUGUUCUGGGCUACACACGUGCUACAAUGGCCGGUACAAAGCGAAGCAAACCCGCGAGGGAGAGCAAAUCAGCAAAACCGGUCCCAGUUCGGAUUGCAGGCUGCAACUCGCCUGCAUGAAGUCGGAGUUGCUAGUAAUCGUGAAUCAGCAUGUCACGGUGAAUGCGUUCCCGGGUCUUGUACACACCGCCCGU
RNAcentral lists this ribosomal RNA (498 nucleotides) under uncultured bacterium. RNAcentral's name for it is "bacterial SSU rRNA". It matches the Rfam family "Bacterial small subunit ribosomal RNA", at positions 899 to 1397 of the family's 1533-position model. The record is from RNAcentral.